This 263-nucleotide ribosomal RNA is filed under the name uncultured soil bacterium. Its description in RNAcentral is "partial 16S ribosomal RNA". It matches the Rfam family "Bacterial small subunit ribosomal RNA", at positions 26 to 284 of the family's 1533-position model. The record is from RNAcentral.
AGGAUGAACGCUGGCGGCGUGCUUAACACAUGCAAGUCGAACGAUGAAGGCUGGAGCUUGCUCUGGCUGGAUUAGUGGCGAACGGGUGAGUAACACGUGAGUAACCUGCCCCAGACUCUGGGAUAAGCGCUGGAAACGGCGUCUAAUACCGGAUACGAGCUUCCACCGCAUGGUGAGGAGCUAGGAAAGUAAUUUCGGUCUGGGAUGGACUCGCGGCCUAUCAGCUUGUGGUGAGGUAAUGGCUCACCAAGGCGACGACGGGU